AUAUUCCUACGGGAGGCAGCAGUGGGGAAUAUUGCACAAUGGGGGGAACCCUGAUGCAGCGACGCCGCGUGGGUGAAGGAGUACUUCGGUACGUAAAGCCCUAUCAGCAGGAAAGAAAAUGACGGUACCUGACUAAGAAGCCCCGGCUAACUACGUGCCAGCAGCCGCGGUAAUACGUAGGGGGCAAGCGUUAUCCGGAUUUACUGGGUGUAAAGGGUGCGUAGGCGGUCGGAUAAGUUAGAGGUGAAAUCCCGAGGCUCAACUUCGGAAUUGCCUCUGAUACUGUUCGGCUAGAGAGGAGUUGG
Molecule: ribosomal RNA, 305 nt
Filed under: uncultured bacterium
Lineage: Bacteria
Description: bacterial SSU rRNA
Rfam family: Bacterial small subunit ribosomal RNA
Source: RNAcentral